UUCUCGAUUUAGUCAAUCAGUCAAUCAGUCAAUCGGUCAGUUUAUCUGUUUCCUAUUAUCCAGAGUAUUAAGCUCUAUAAUGUCGCUCAUCGCCCGAUCGUGAUCAUUUCAAAGUAACCUUCUAUUUGCUUACCGAUUUUCGUCUAUGUAAUCGCGAUCUUUAUAGUCAAACUAGUAGUUCGAUUAGGUGCGAAACAUUCUAUACACUACGUUGAGUUAUAGGAUUAAAAUCACCAUAUUUCUUUUUUUUUCUGUCCUUUUAUUUAUUUCGCUAAUAGACUUUUAAUAGACUGACCGACCGACUUCCGAUUCUGUAUAGCGUGCCAUUGGCAAAUUAAUCUCGUCUGAAAAGACUGCCUCUCUCUUCGAAGAUUAAUUUAUGUUUUUGUGUUGAGCAAUUUGUCAUUCGUUCUAUUCAAAGCUUUUGAAAGCAGCAAACCGUUUUAUAUAUAAUCGUGUGUUUAUUACUUAAUACCGGCGGUCGUUUAGGUCAACAAGUAUUACACGGAAGAAUAUCUAAACUGACUAUAAUAUAUUAUGUAGAAAAAUUUGUUUCGUUCCGAUCGAAUUACCAAGUCAAAUACUAGAUCGUGAGAACUAUAUUGUUGAAUUGUAGCUAUUUUAUACGACGAAGGAAAAAAUAGUCUUUACUUCAAGGGCCUGUUCCACUAUAACGCGCGUUUAAUAUGUGUGUAAGAAAGGCGCCAACUCACUUGGAUAUAUAGGCCCAUAGAUGGACGCGAAUGGGACGUGUUGUAUACAAACGGUGAAUUUAUUGACACGGCAGUAAAGUGGGAACAGUUUUUUUUGUCAAAUUCACGCGUUAUAUGAAAAGCGAAGGAUUUUCUCUUUUUAUUGUUUAAUUUGUUUAUCAUCUCCUAUUAUUCUACAAAUAUUUUUUCUAAGAAUGUUAAAAUAUGGAGGAGAGAAAGAGAAAGCGCGCGUAAAAAAAGUAAGGAAAGCUCCAGUGGUGUUCAAUUUCGGAGAGAAGGGCAGUUUCGCGUUUCGAAAGUUGGUAACAAAGGUGCCUUAUGAUUACGGAGGGUAGGAUAAGGUGCAGAUGGCGGAUGCGUGUAGAAGGCGAAAGUGAAUCUGUUACACAACAGUCGCCUAGAAAAAAUUGACGGCUCAAAUGAGAAACAUUUAGCACGAGAUAAUUUCCUGAAAGCGAAAGGUUCUUGUAUGAACAAGCCAUGCAUUUUUAAAUGAGAAAAGGCGCGCGCAGGUGGGCGGUGCCUUUGUGACGACGUCGCUCACUACCGGUACCUGCAUUAAUUAUGGAGACGCUCGUAAUUAACUCAACUAGUAAUUGAGUGUACUGUCAGCGGCGUCACGAAAGCGUCGAAAGUAACUGACGUAACUAUUGUCGUGAUUUGCUACGACGUCUCCUGUGACGUCCACUUACGGCGUUCGGUGACAGUUGGCCGAUGCAUCUUCCCACUAUUGCAUCAUAGUCCGUAAUUGUAGAGUUAAUGAAAAAGUGUCAGCGUGAGUUAUGGAGUUUUCGCCAUGCUAGAUGGCGUAAAAAAUUUGAAUUUAAAUAACCAUUAAGAAUUCUUUAAUGAGGGGGGGUAACCUAGAGGGGGUGGGUGGCGAUUCUAGGUUUGCUUUCUUGCAUGGAUUUUUUCGUACCAGAACAUCAAAGCAUGUCGAAUGUAAUUGAAAACGUGCUGGAACGGAACAAAUUCAUAUCGUCUGUUUUCUUUUCGCAACUCGGUUUUUACUCGACAGUUUACCUAAAAUUUCCAAAAGCGUCUAAAUAUUUGCCUAACACGUUCAGGUCGAAUCCUUUUGGAUGUUCCGUGCAAAGUUUGUCGUGAUCACUCCAGCGGAAAGCAUUACGGAAUUUACGCAUGUGACGGGUGUGCCGGAUUUUUUAAGCGCUCCAUUCGACGCAAUCGCCAAUAUGUAUGUAAAUCAAAAAGUCAGGGCGAAUGCCCAGUUGAUAAAACUCAUAGGAACCAAUGCAGAGCUUGCCGAUUACGAAAAUGCCUAGAAGCCGGUAUGAAUAAAGAUGCUGUACAACAUGAACGAGGACCUCGUAAUUCAACUAUACGCCGUCAGAUGGCUCUCUAUGUUAAAGAAAAGGCCGAAGCAACAACUAGGGUUCUUCCGCCGAGUGCUCCUGCACCUCCUAUUCCAACUUUGUCGGCGGCUUCUCCUGUUCCAAUUACGCCCAUGUCGCAACCGGCCCUUUUAUCUGCAGCCAUACAUUCGGGAAUGCUAAUUCCGCAACGAUAUCCUCCAGAACUGAUUACGGCAGCCUAUUUAGCCAAUCCGGAGGCUGUUUGCGAAACGGCGGCUAGACUCCUCUUUAUGUCAGUUAAAUGGGUAAAAAAUGUGCCAGCGUUCGUUGGUCUUGCAUUUAAAGAUCAAGUAACGCUCCUCGAGGAAGGUUGGAGGGAAUUAUUUGUUUUAGGCGCUGCUCAGUUCCUUAUGCCAGUUGAUCCUCAAUCUUUAUUAGCCACGUCACCCCUUUCCCGUGAAGAUGGUUCAUCAUCCGAAGCUUUCAAUCAAUUAUCAAGCGAAUUAAAAUCAUUGAAGGAGAUUAUUGACAAAUUAAAAGCAAUGCAAGUUGACCAAACUGAAUAUGCUUGUUUAAAAGGCGUCGCUCUUUUCAAAACUUCUAUUGAAGAAGGUCGGUCGCUUCUUGAUGUUCCUUCGAUUGCCUCUUUGCAAGAUCAGGCUCAACUCACCCUUAAUAAGUAUAUUCAAACCGCCUAUCCUACUCAACCGUCUCGAUUCGGUAAGCUUCUCCUACUCUUACCAAAUCUGAAGAAUGUAUCUUGCACCACCAUCGAACAAGUCUUCUUUAAAAGAACAAUCGGAGCCGUGUCUAUGGAGAAAAUUAUUAUAGAUAUGUACAAAUCACCGGACUUUUAAAAAGUUCAUUGUUAUUUCGUACAUAAAAAAUUAAUGAAUGUUUAAAAAAUGAUCAAAAUUGAAAAAUAGCAAACGUCUGGCCAUAAAUGCUUGCCUGAUCACAGAAAAGAAUUUUCUCUAUUCUAUUUCUUUUUAUUGCAAAAUUGUAUUUAUCACAUCUGUAUUGUAGACGUAUAGUUUUAUAUAAAUACCACACUAUGGCAGGUAUAUCUCAUUUAUACAUAUACACUGUAUAUAUGUAUAUAAGAAAUAUAUCUAGUAGUGCAUUUACAUGUACAUAACGCGAUGGAGUUUAUUGAAUAGACAUAAACAGACACCAUAUGCUUAAACAUGUACAUGUAUACAUCUGUAUAUACAUAUUUAAUAAAUAUAUAAUAUGGUAUUAAGUGUUUACACGUUUAUCGUCUUUUUUUUUAAAAAAAAAGGGCAAUUAUGGGAUUCUUUUUGACUAGGGUGUAAAUCUAUUUGCAAUGCAUUUUAUAUUUGAGCUUCAAAACUGUUACUUUUACUUUUAUUAUUUUUUUUUGCACUGCUAUAAAAUCUUAAUUUUUAAUAUAAAGUAUAUUCUUUUGAUGUAUAUGGAAUUUCACCGUUUUUACUAUUAUUUCUACUUGUUUUUUUUUUGGAGAAUAUAAUUUUCGAAUGUAAAAUUUCGAAGGAAUGUAAAAAGCGUGGCAAUUUCAACGCAUGAAACUUUAAACGUCAAACCGGACGGCGUUUGCGUGUUGAGUAUCAAAAGCAUUUUAAAAGCAUUUCUUUAUAAAUUAUGUAAGGCAUUCCCAAAAAAAGGCUGUCGA
This 3680-nucleotide unclassified non-coding RNA is filed under the name Dimorphilus gyrociliatus. Its description in RNAcentral is "dgyrCDS8786". The record is from RNAcentral. Lineage: Eukaryota; Metazoa; Annelida; Polychaeta; Dinophilidae.